AGCAGCCGCGGUAAUUCCAGCUCCAAUAGCGUAUAUUAAAGUUGUUGCAGUUAAAAAGCUCGUAGUUGAAUUUCGGGAUCAAUUUGCUGGUCGUGCCUCUGGUACGUACUGGUAUUAUUGGUUUCUCCCUUCUGACGAACCAUGAUGUCAUUAAUUUGAUGUCGUGGAGAAUCAGGACUGUUACUUUGAAAAAUUAGAGUGUUUAAAGCAGGCAUUAGCUUGAAUACAUUAGCAUGGAAUAAUGAAAUAGGACGUUUGAUCCUAUUUUGUUGGUUUCUAGGAUUGACGUAAUGAUUAAUAGGGAUAGUUGGGGGCAUUAGUAUUCAAUUGUCAGAGGUGAAAUUCUUGGGUUUAUUGAAGACUAACUACUGCGAAAGCAUUUGCCAAGGAUGUUUUCAUUAAUCAAGAACGAAAGUUAGGGGAUCGAAGACGAUCAGAUACCGUCGUAGUCUUAACCAUAAACUAUGCCGACUAGGGAU
This 479-nucleotide ribosomal RNA is filed under the name uncultured Glomus. RNAcentral's name for it is "SSU rRNA". It matches the Rfam family "Eukaryotic small subunit ribosomal RNA", at positions 569 to 1053 of the family's 1831-position model. Lineage: Eukaryota; Fungi; Glomeromycota; Glomeromycetes; Glomerales; Glomeraceae. The record is from RNAcentral.